RNAcentral lists this ribosomal RNA (830 nucleotides) under Salmonella enterica subsp. enterica serovar Oranienburg. Its description in RNAcentral is "partial 23S ribosomal RNA". It matches the Rfam family "Bacterial large subunit ribosomal RNA", at positions 717 to 1547 of the family's 2925-position model. The record is from RNAcentral. RNAcentral also lists the same sequence under 1 other name. Lineage: Bacteria; Pseudomonadati; Pseudomonadota; Gammaproteobacteria; Enterobacterales; Enterobacteriaceae.
GAAACCCGGUGAUCUAGCCAUGGGCAGGUUGAAGGUUGGGUAACACUAACUGGAGGACCGAACCGACUAAUGUUGAAAAAUUAGCGGAUGACCUGUGGCUGGGGGUGAAAGGCCAAUCAAACCGGGAGAUAGCUGGUUCUCCCCGAAAGCUAUUUAGGUAGCGCCUCGUGAAUUCAUCUCCGGGGGUAGAGCACUGUUUCGGCCAGGGGGCCAUCCCGGCUUACCAAUCCGAUGCAAACUGCGAAUACCGGAGAAUGUUAUCACGGGAGACACACGGCGGGUGCUAACGUCCGUCGUGAAGAGGGAAACAACCCAGACCGCCAGCUAAGGUCCCAAAGUCAUGGUUAAGUGGGAAACGAUGUGGGAAGGCCCAGACAGCCAGGAUGUUGGCUUAGAAGCAGCCAUCAUUUAAAGAAAGCGUAAUAGCUCACUGGUCGAGUCGGCCUGCGCGGAAGAUGUAACGGGGCUAAACCAUGCACCGAAGCUGCGGCAGCGACACUGAUGUGUUGUUGGGUAGGGGAGCGUUCUGUAAGCCGUUGAAGGUGUGUCGUGAGGCAUGCUGGAGGUAUCAGAAGUGCGAAUGCUGACAUAAGUAACGAUAAAGCGGGUGAAAAGCCCGCUCGCCGGAAGACCAAGGGUUCCUGUCCAACGUUAAUCGGGGCAGGGUGAGUCGACCCCUAAGGCGAGGCCGAAAGGCGUAGUCGAUGGGAAACGGGUUAAUAUUCCCGUACUUGGUGUUACUGCGAAGGGGGGACGGAGAAGGCUAUGUUGGCCGGGCGACGGUUGUCCCGGUUUAAGCGUGUAGGUGUGUGUUCCAGGUAAAUCCGGUU